RNAcentral lists this ribosomal RNA (2904 nucleotides) under Enterobacter cloacae. Its description in RNAcentral is "23S ribosomal RNA". It matches the Rfam family "Bacterial large subunit ribosomal RNA". RNAcentral also lists the same sequence under 1 other name. The record is from RNAcentral. Lineage: Bacteria; Pseudomonadati; Pseudomonadota; Gammaproteobacteria; Enterobacterales; Enterobacteriaceae.
GGUUAAGCGACUAAGCGUACACGGUGGAUGCCCUGGCAGUCAGAGGCGAUGAAGGACGUGCUAAUCUGCGAAAAGCGCCGGCGAGGUGAUAUGAACCCUUGACCCGGCGAUGUCCGAAUGGGGAAACCCAGUGUGAUUCGUCACACUAUCGUUAACUGAAUACAUAGGUUAACGAGGCGAACCGGGGGAACUGAAACAUCUAAGUACCCCGAGGAAAAGAAAUCAACCGAGAUUCCCCCAGUAGCGGCGAGCGAACGGGGAGCAGCCCAGAGUCUGAAUCAGCUUGUGUGUUAGUGGAAGCGUCUGGAAAGUCGCACGGUACAGGGUGACAGUCCCGUACACGAAAAUGCACAGGCUGUGAACUCGAAGAGUAGGGCGGGACACGUGGUAUCCUGUCUGAAUAUGGGGGGACCAUCCUCCAAGGCUAAAUACUCCUGACUGACCGAUAGUGAACCAGUACCGUGAGGGAAAGGCGAAAAGAACCCCGGCGAGGGGAGUGAAAAAGAACCUGAAACCGUGUACGUACAAGCAGUGGGAGCACCUUCGGGUGUGACUGCGUACCUUUUGUAUAAUGGGUCAGCGACUUAUAUUCUGUAGCAAGGUUAACCGUAUAGGGGAGCCGAAGGGAAACCGAGUCUUAACUGGGCGUUAAGUUGCAGGGUAUAGACCCGAAACCCGGUGAUCUAGCCAUGGGCAGGUUGAAGGUUGGGUAACACUAACUGGAGGACCGAACCGACUAAUGUUGAAAAAUUAGCGGAUGACUUGUGGCUGGGGGUGAAAGGCCAAUCAAACCGGGAGAUAGCUGGUUCUCCCCGAAAGCUAUUUAGGUAGCGCCUCGUGAACUCAUCUUCGGGGGUAGAGCACUGUUUCGGCUAGGGGGCCAUCCCGGCUUACCAACCCGAUGCAAACUACGAAUACCGAAGAAUGUUAUCACGGGAGACACACGGCGGGUGCUAACGUCCGUCGUGAAGAGGGAAACAACCCAGACCGCCAGCUAAGGUCCCAAAGUCAUGGUUAAGUGGGAAACGAUGUGGGAAGGCCCAGACAGCCAGGAUGUUGGCUUAGAAGCAGCCAUCAUUUAAAGAAAGCGUAAUAGCUCACUGGUCGAGUCGGCCUGCGCGGAAGAUGUAACGGGGCUAAACCAUGCACCGAAGCUGCGGCAGCGACACUAUGUGUUGUUGGGUAGGGGAGCGUUCUGUAAGCCGUUGAAGGUGGCCUGUGAGGGUUGCUGGAGGUAUCAGAAGUGCGAAUGCUGACAUAAGUAACGAUAAAGCGGGUGAAAAGCCCGCUCGCCGGAAGACCAAGGGUUCCUGUCCAACGUUAAUCGGGGCAGGGUGAGUCGACCCCUAAGGCGAGGCCGAAAGGCGUAGUCGAUGGGAAACAGGUUAAUAUUCCUGUACUUGGUGUUACUGCGAAGGGGGGACGGAGAAGGCUAUGUUAGCCGGGCGACGGUUGUCCCGGUUUAAGCAUGUAGGCGGAGGUUCCAGGUAAAUCCGGUACCUUUUUAACGCUGAGGUGUGAUGACGAGGCACUACGGUGCUGAAGUAACAAAUGCCCUGCUUCCAGGAAAAGCCUCUAAGCAUCAGGUAACACGAAAUCGUACCCCAAACCGACACAGGUGGUCAGGUAGAGAAUACCAAGGCGCUUGAGAGAACUCGGGUGAAGGAACUAGGCAAAAUGGUGCCGUAACUUCGGGAGAAGGCACGCUGAUAUGUAGGUGAAGCCCCUGCGGGUGGAGCUGAAAUCAGUCGAAGAUACCAGCUGGCUGCAACUGUUUAUUAAAAACACAGCACUGUGCAAACACGAAAGUGGACGUAUACGGUGUGACGCCUGCCCGGUGCCGGAAGGUUAAUUGAUGGGGUUAGCGGCAACGCGAAGCUCUUGAUCGAAGCCCCGGUAAACGGCGGCCGUAACUAUAACGGUCCUAAGGUAGCGAAAUUCCUUGUCGGGUAAGUUCCGACCUGCACGAAUGGCGUAAUGAUGGCCAGGCUGUCUCCACCCGAGACUCAGUGAAAUUGAACUCGCUGUGAAGAUGCAGUGUACCCGCGGCAAGACGGAAAGACCCCGUGAACCUUUACUAUAGCUUGACACUGAACACUGGUCCUUGAUGUGUAGGAUAGGUGGGAGGCUUUGAAGCGUGGACGCCAGUCUGCGUGGAGCCGCCCUUGAAAUACCACCCUUUAAUGGCUGGUGUUCUAACGUAGACCCGUAAUCCGGGUUGCGGACAGUGUCUGGUGGGUAGUUUGACUGGGGCGGUCUCCUCCCAAAGAGUAACGGAGGAGCACGAAGGUUAGCUAAUCCUGGUCGGACAUCAGGAGGUUAGUGCAAUGGCAUAAGCUAGCUUGACUGCGAGAGUGACGGCUCGAGCAGGUGCGAAAGCAGGUCAUAGUGAUCCGGUGGUUCUGAAUGGAAGGGCCAUCGCUCAACGGAUAAAAGGUACUCCGGGGAUAACAGGCUGAUACCGCCCAAGAGUUCAUAUCGACGGCGGUGUUUGGCACCUCGAUGUCGGCUCAUCACAUCCUGGGGCUGAAGUAGGUCCCAAGGGUAUGGCUGUUCGCCAUUUAAAGUGGUACGCGAGCUGGGUUUAGAACGUCGUGAGACAGUUCGGUCCCUAUCUGCCGUGGGCGCUGGAGAAUUGAGGGGGGCUGCUCCUAGUACGAGAGGACCGGAGUGGACGCAUCACUGGUGUUCGGGUUGUCAUGCCAAUGGCACUGCCCGGUAGCUAAAUGCGGAAGAGAUAAGUGCUGAAAGCAUCUAAGCACGAAACUUGCCCCGAGAUGAGUUCUCCCUGAGACUUUAAGUCUCCUGAAGGAACGUUGAAGACGACGACGUUGAUAGGUCGGGUGUGUAAGCGCAGCGAUGCGUUGAGCUAACCGAUACUAAUGAACCGUGAGGCUUAACCUU